Molecule: ribosomal RNA, 324 nt
Filed under: uncultured eukaryote
Lineage: Eukaryota
Description: partial 18S ribosomal RNA
Rfam family: Eukaryotic small subunit ribosomal RNA
Source: RNAcentral
CCCUUAGAUGUUCUGGGCCGCACGCGCGCUACACUGACUACUUCAACGAGUUGUUUCCUUGAUCGAAAGGUCUGGGUAAUCUUUGAAAGGUAGUCGUGAUGGGGAUAGAUCCUUGCAAUUUUUGAUCUUCAACGAGGAAUUCCUAGUAAACGCAAGUCAUCAGCUUGCAUUGAUUACGUCCCUGCCCUUUGUACACACCGCCCGUCGCACCUACCGAUUGAGUGAUCCGGUGAAUAAUUCGGACUGCAGCACUGCUUGGUCUCCAGGCUUUGCAGCGGAAAGUUUAGUGAACCUUAUCACUUAGAGGAAGGAGAAGUCGUAACA